Molecule: ribosomal RNA, 458 nt
Filed under: uncultured bacterium
Lineage: Bacteria
Description: partial 16S ribosomal RNA
Rfam family: Bacterial small subunit ribosomal RNA
Source: RNAcentral
CCUACGGGAGGCAGCAGUGAGGAAUAUUGGUCAAUGGACGCAAGUCUGAACCAGCCAUGCCGCGUGCAGGAAGACGGCUCUAUGAGUUGUAAACUGCUUUUGUACGAGGGUAAAUCCCGAUACGUGUAUAGGGUUGAAAGUAUCGUACGAAUAAGGAUCGGCUAACUCCGUGCCAGCAGCCGCGGUAAUACGGAGGCUUCAAGCGUUAUCCGGAUUUCUUGGGUUUAAAGGGUGCGUAGGCGGUUCGAUAAGUUAGAGGUGAAAUCCCGGCUCAACUCCGGCACUGCCUCUGAUACUGUCGGGCGAGAGGUUAGUUGCGGUAGGCGGAAUGUAUGGUGUAGCGGUGAAAUGCAUAGAGAUCAUACAGAACACCGAUUGCGAAGGCAGCUUACCAAACUACGACUGACGUUGAGGCACGAAAGCGUGGGGAGCAAACAGGAUUAGAUACCCCUGUAGUC